AAACCAUGGUUGGGACACUUUCUUAUCAUCUCUUUGAAUCUCUCCCAAGCUUCAUAGAAGGUCUCUCCAUCGAAUUGAUGAAAUUGGACUAUGUCCUUCUUCAUCUU
Molecule: small nucleolar RNA, 107 nt
Organism: Salvia miltiorrhiza (redroot sage)
Lineage: Eukaryota; Viridiplantae; Streptophyta; Magnoliopsida; Lamiales; Lamiaceae
Source: RefSeq, a predicted model, not a curated record